CGCAGGAGAUUGAAACGUCAUUGCGCACACGUCGGCGGCGGCCGCGACAAGCCGGAAGGAGGCGGGGCGUGGUCGCUGGGUCGGUUCUUGUGGUGACUACUAAACAAUGGAAAGGAACAAGCCACUAAUACCUGGAACAACAUGAAUGAACCUCAAAACAUUAAGCUGAGUGAAAGAAGCCUUGCAUGCAAAAAAGGUUUCCUGGAAUAAGAAUUCAUCGGAAGAAACUCUGUGGAAGUUUGAAAGCCGUUAUCAGUAUUCUCUGCCGAUAGCAAAGGCUCUCUAGUCGGCAACUAUCAGAGCAAAUUCUGUCUCUCCACUCUGUGGUCCUAGGCCCACUGUAGCCACCAGGGAACAGUUCAGCUGAAAUGAGCAAUCAACUCCAUUCCUGUUGUUAUUCUUAAAACUUCCUGGCACAGCAUCAGAUACCUGCAUGAAGGAAAAGCUUCUUCAGCCUUCCCUCUCUAUUUGGCUUCCAGUGGGUAUAUCACAGUUAUUGCCAUAUACAGAAAAUUCUGACUGACAUUUCCAGAGCUUUUUGGUGACAGAAGUGAUUUUCACAUUCCCUCAAGCUGGAGCAUAUUUUCACAAGCACUAUUUGGGUUCUUUGGUCAUUCAUCUUUAAAGUAAGAGAACUCCAUCUAGACCACUUCCAUCAUCUUGUGAUUCAUGGAAAACCAUUGACAACAGGAUUACUGACUGAUCUUGGAGUUGUUAGUUUUUAUCAGUUUUAGUGUUUUUAUAGUUAUUUCAUUGGGUGGUUGUAAGAGGUUUUACUAGGGGGUGUUAGGUAGCAUGCACUUUCAAUCAAGCUACCUAUUCAAAAUGUCAGCAUUUUUGCAGUAUCUCCCAAGAUGUUUCUGUUGAAGAAUAAUAUUUGUACUGUGAGAGUUAUAUCUGGAACUCCUGUACUCCAGAAUCAAAAACAAAAAUGUGAAGCAAUAGUUUCUAUUUCACAGGCUAAUUAAAGCAAGAGAUUUGGUAUUUCUUUACAAAAAGAAUGAUGAAGGUAGAUAGUGGCCUGGAAACCAGUGAACCUGAUUGCAAAAUGAAUAUUUAAAAGCCCCUCUGAUUUAAUGUGCUCUUGUUUCCAUUCCCUUUAUUCUUUACAAAGACAAAGAGUCCUCUGUAAAUAUUGCUUUAAGGAUUAUCAGGCUUCAAUUUUCAAUUUUGUCCAAAGGCCAUAAUUUAAACCAUAAUAUUGGCUUUACAAAUGUAAACAGUGAUUGAACCUCUUUCCUUUAGCUAAUAGAAAUGCCAAUGAAAUUAGAGUCAAUUAAAUAAUUGCUUUAUUAACCUAAUGUAUUACUGCUGUAAGACGUGCUGUGACUCAUCCAGUCAGGAGGGGAGCUAGGAGAGAACAAAACUACAUCAACAUAAAGACAAUGGAAACCAG
Globicephala melas (long-finned pilot whale) is the source of this 1396-nucleotide long non-coding RNA. RefSeq lists it as uncharacterized. Lineage: Eukaryota; Metazoa; Chordata; Mammalia; Artiodactyla; Delphinidae. The record is from RefSeq and is a predicted model, not a curated record.